Long non-coding RNA from Mytilus californianus (California mussel), 617 nucleotides. RefSeq lists it as uncharacterized. Lineage: Eukaryota; Metazoa; Mollusca; Bivalvia; Mytilida; Mytilidae. The record is from RefSeq and is a predicted model, not a curated record. The transcript is spliced from 2 exons.
UAACCUUGUAUUUAGAUUUUUAAUUUUGGGUCCAGUUUUCAAAUUGGUCUACAUUAAGGUCCAAAGGGUCCAAAAUUAAACUUUGUUUGAUUUUAACAAAAAUUGAAUAUAUGGGGUUCUUUGGUAUGCUGAAUCGAAACCUGUAUUUAGAUUUUUGAUUUUUGGCCCAGUUUUCAAGUUGGUCCAAGUUGGGGUCCAAAAUUUAACUUUGUUUGAUUUCAACAAAAAUUGAAUAUAUGGGGUUCUUUGAUAUGCUGAAUCUAAACAUGUAUUUAGAUUUUUUAUUUGUGGACCCCGCUAUCAAAUUGGUUCAUAUUGAGGUCAAAAGGGUCCAAAAUUAAACUUUGUUUGAUUUCAUCAAAAAUUGAAUUAUUGGGGUUCUUUGAUAUGCCAAAUCUAACUGUGUUUUUAGAUUUUUAAUUUUGGGUCCUGUUUUUUAAAUUGUCUACAUUAAGGUCCAAAGGGUCCAAAAUUAAAGUUAGUUUGAUUUUAACAAAAAUUGAAUUAUUGGGGUUCUUUGAUAUGCUGAAUCUAAAACAUGUGUUUAGAUUUUUGAUUAUGGGCCCAGUUUUCAAGUUUGUCCAAGUUGGGGUCCAAAAUUAAACUUUGUUUGAUUU